Molecule: ribosomal RNA, 720 nt
Filed under: uncultured bacterium
Lineage: Bacteria
Description: bacterial SSU rRNA
Rfam family: Bacterial small subunit ribosomal RNA
Source: RNAcentral
AGAGUUUGAUCCUGGCUCAGAACGAACGCUGGCGGCAUGCCUAACACAUGCAAGUCGAACGAAGAUAUGGCUUCGGCCAUAGACUGAGUGGCGCACGGGUGAGUAACGCGUAGGAAUUUACCUUUCGGUGGGGGACAACUGAUGGAAACGUCAGCUAAUACCGCAUACGCUCUACGGAGGAAAGAUUUAUUGCCGAAAGAUAAGCCUGCGUUAGAUUAGGUUGUUGGUGAGGUAAAAGCUCACCAAGCCGAUGAUCUAUAGCUGGUCUGAGAGGAUGAUCAGCCACACUGGGACUGAGACACGGCCCAGACUCCUACGGGAGGCAGCAGUGGGGAAUAUUGGACAAUGGGGGCAACCCUGAUCCAGCAAUGCCGCGUGAGUGAAGAAGGCCUUAGGGUUGUAAAACUCUUUCAACUGUGAAGAUGAUGACGGUAACAGUAGAAGAAGCUCCGGCUAACUCCGUGCCAGCAGCCGCGGUAAUACGGAGGGAGCUAGCGUUGUUCGGAAUUACUGGGCGUAAAGCGUACGUAGGCGGUUUUGUAAGUUAGGAGUGAAAUCCCCGGGCUCAACCUGGGAACUGCUCUUAAGACUGCAGAACUUGAGGACGAGAGAGGAAAGUGGAAUUCCAAGUGUAGAGGUGAAAUUCGUAGAUAUUUGGAAGAACACCGGUGGCGAAGGCGACUUUCUGGCUCGUAACUGACGCUGAGGUACGAAAGUGUG